Long non-coding RNA from Suricata suricatta (meerkat), 569 nucleotides. RefSeq lists it as uncharacterized. Lineage: Eukaryota; Metazoa; Chordata; Mammalia; Carnivora; Herpestidae. The record is from RefSeq and is a predicted model, not a curated record. The transcript has 3 exons.
GUCUCAUAGCAGUGCCAAGAGGAGGAGAAAAUCUUAGAAUUGCCUCUGAGCAUUUGCCUCACUUUUUGGUGAAGGUCUGAAGGUCAGAAGUCUUAACGAGUCUUAUGGGGAAAAUCAAGUUUUCAUCAGGCCAGCUUCUUCUGGACGCUCUGUGGAAGAAUCUGCCUCAUAUCCCUUUCAGCUGCUAAAGAAGUCCUCUGCAUACCUGCAUGUGAACGCCACUAUUCCAGUCAAAUUGCCAUCUUUACUCCUGGAAAGAGGAAAACACUCCUACAACCACUUUAGGUCCGUCAGGCUGAGCUUCUGCAAGUUCAAAUCUUACCAAGUGCCUCCUUACUUAAGCACUUCCUUUGUUCUUAAAGACCCAAAUAUUGAACACGUCCUGCCUGGCUCUCAAGGAUCUGACCCUGAACUACAUUAGUGGCAUCAUGAUGUGCAAAACUGUCCUCACUCUCUUUGCUCCAACCACAGAAGAUGUUUUCAAGUCCUUGCCCUUCUGGCCUCUGCUUCCUCUUCCUGGAAUGACAUUCCCCCUCUUACUCUAAUAAAUUCCUCUUCUUCUUUUUUAA